This is a long non-coding RNA of Homo sapiens (human), 1818 nucleotides long. NCBI's taxonomy places the organism in Eukaryota, Metazoa, Chordata, Mammalia, Primates, Hominidae. The record is from Ensembl.
UUUUUUUAUGAAACAGUCUCGCUCUGUCUCCCAGGUUGGAGUGCAGUGGCACGAUCUCGGCUGACUGCAACCUCCACCUCCUGGGUUCAAGCGAUUCUCCUGCCUCAGCCUCCCCAGUAGCUGGGAUUACAGGCGUGGGCCCCCAUGUCCAGCUAAUUUUUAUAUUUUUAGUAGAGACAGGGUUUCACCAUGUUGUCCAGGCUGGUCUUGAACCCCUGACCUCAAGUGAUCCACCCACCUCUGCCUCCCAAAGUGCUGGGAUUACAGGUGUGAGCCACCAUGCCAGGCCCACUUAACCUCUUCAAGUCUGUUUUCUCAUCUGCAAAACAGAGGUAAUAAGAUCAGUAUCUUCUUAAUGGAAGCACCUGGACUACAUUUUUUUCAUUCAUUGUUAUCAUAAAUGAGGACUAACCUGUCUCCCGUUGGGAGUUUUGAACCUAGACCUCAUGUCUUCAUGACGUCAUCACUGCCCCAGGCCCAGCUGUGUCCCUACACCAGCCCCAGCUGACGCAUCUUCUUUUUCUGCCUGUAGAGAUGGUUACAAUGCCUGGCGUGAUGCAUUCUGGCCUUCGCAGAUCCUGGCGGGGCUGUGCCAACGCUGUGGCCUCCCUGCCCCUGAAUACCGAGCCGGUGCUGUCAAGGUGGGCAGCAAAGUCUUCCUGACACCACCGGAGACCCUGCCCCCAGGGAUCUCUUCACAUGUGGAUUGACAUCUUUCCUCAAGAUGUGCCUGCUCCACCCCCAGUUGACAUCAAGCCUCGGCAGCCAAUCAGCUAUGAGCUCAGAGUUGUCAUCUGGAACACGGAGGAUGUGGUUCUGGACGACGAGAAUCCACUCACCGGAGAGAUGUCGAGUGACAUCUAUGUGAAGAGCUGGGUGAAGGGGUUGGAGCAUGACAAGCAGGAGACAGACGUUCACUUCAACUCCCUGACUGGGGAGGGGAACUUCAAUUGGCGCUUUGUGUUCCGCUUUGACUACCUGCCCACGGAGCGGGAGGUGAGCGUCCGGCGCAGGUCUGGACCCUUUGCCCUGGAGGAGGCGGAGUUCCGGCAGCCUGCAGUGCUGGUCCUGCAGGUCUGGGACUAUGACCGCAUCUCUGCCAAUGACUUCCUUGGAUCCCUGGAGUUGCAGCUACCAGACAUGGUGCGUGGGGCCCGGGGCCCCGAGCUCUGCUCUGUGCAGCUGGCCCGCAAUGGGGCCGGGCCGAGGUGCAAUCUGUUUCGCUGCUGCCGCCGCCUGAGGGGCUGGUGGCCGGUAGUGAAGCUGAAGGAGGCAGAGGACGUGGAGCGGGAGGCGCAGGAGGCUCAGGCUGGCAAGAAGAAGCGAAAGCAGAGGAGGAGGAAGGGCCGGCCAGAAGACCUGGAGUUCACAGACAUGGGUGGCAAUGUGUACAUCCUCACGGGCAAGGUGGAGGCAGAGUUUGAGCUGCUGACUGUGGAGGAGGCCGAGAAACGGCCAGUGGGGAAGGGGCGGAAGCAGCCAGAGCCUCUGGAGAAACCCAGCCGCCCCAAAACUUCCUUCAACUGGUUUGUGAACCCGCUGAAGACCUUUGUCUUCUUCAUCUGGCGCCGGUACUGGCGCACCCUGGUGCUGCUGCUACUGGUGCUGCUCACCGUCUUCCUCCUCCUGGUCUUCUACACCAUCCCUGGCCAGAUCAGCCAGGUCAUCUUCCGUCCCCUCCACAAGUGACUCUCGCUGACCUUGGACACUCACCCAGGGUGCCAACCCUUCAAUGCCUGCUCCUGGAAGUCUUUCUUACCCAUGUGAGCUACCCCAGAGUCUAGUGCUUCCUCUGAAUAAACCUAUCACAGCCACUGA